Nelumbo nucifera (sacred lotus) is the source of this 1464-nucleotide long non-coding RNA. RefSeq lists it as uncharacterized. Lineage: Eukaryota; Viridiplantae; Streptophyta; Magnoliopsida; Proteales; Nelumbonaceae. The record is from RefSeq and is a predicted model, not a curated record.
GGGUUUCUAUUUUACCUCCGACCAGAUCGGGUUUACCGGAUGAGCCGGUAUCUACUAGUCAAACGCUCCUCUUGGACCGGUUCUAAGGAGGUGGAACGGACAUCCGGUGGCCGUGGUAGAGCCGACGAUGGUUCGGAUUCCGGUUAGACCGCCCGGUGAACGGCGUUUUCGGGGAUAAACCAGUGUCAUACUGGAGCUUUUUGACAGGUAUGCUCUUCCUUUGGUUGGUUAUUUCUGAGAACUAGCGAACAGCAGCUCGAAUUUCUUUUGCUGCUUUGAUCGUCCAGAUCUGGUCGACCGGCGAAGCGCCUGCCUGAGUGAUGGACAGAUCUGCACCUUCCCGAGUUUCAGGCUUGACCAAUAUUCAUCUGAACAAAGUUCCUUUGAUGAGACAAAAAGUCUUGGACCUUCCUUUUAUCCAGAAUUGAAACAUCACCACGACUGGAAGCCGGUGAAGAAACAUCAUCCUCAGUUGUUCACCAAAGCAAGAAGAGUAAUGGUAGGCAGCAGGGUUUUAUUCAACGAAGAUGUCAAAUCACGAAGACGUUAAACAUAAACACAGAGAAUUUUGUUCAAAUCCAGGGGGGUGUUAAGGAAGGCGGUGGCGGUGCUAUGCCUCGUCCUUUUGGGAUUUAAGAGGCCCAUCAUGGCCCGCAUUGUGAUGCUAACUUUCUACGGUUGUACCUGCUUGCAAGGUUCAAGGUAACGAUAAGAUACAUCGAAUUGGUUUUCAUGGUCAGUUUGGCGGCAUAUAAUGGGAGUUGGGAGAUUUGAAUUUGGGAGUUAUAGCUGAUAAUGACAACUUUUGAGUCCUAAUAUUAAUAAAAAUAAGGACAAAAAUACUGUUCAUUUUCCUCUUCCAAACACUGUUCAUCUUUUUAUAACACCGCCGAAAAGACUGUUAUGGCUUACUACUAGGAGGCCAAGAGGAUCCGAGGUAACAAAACGAAGCUCAAUUUCUCUGAAAUGAAGUUUGUAUUGGUUCCAUCACCACAACCACUACCAGCCAAGAGACGAUGUUGCUUCUUCCCCAACUCAGUCCAGAAGAGUUUUUCGGUCACAGUAGGGCAAUUGGAUAUUGCCACGGGUACGUUCUUUCCUUUCAAAGAGGAAAUAUUCUACAAUUAACACAGAAGUAGUGAAGUCGAACUGAAAGAGCAGAUCUUUAAUUUGGAAUCGUUCCUGAAGCUUGAGCCUGAAGCAGUGGAGCCAGUGGGGAGUGUGGAACCAAAGGUGGGGAGAUUUGUCCGAUGGUUUGAAGGAGGAAGGAGAUGAACAGUGUUUCUACCUUUUUUGAUAUUUUUUUAAAAGGUUACUCUAUUGUAGAAAUUAUGUUAAAAAGAUUAUUUUUACUGAUAAUAAGACCCAAAAGUUGCUCUUAUCAACUGUAAUCCCUAUGCAAUGCUUAUGUAUGAAAGAGUUGUUUCACCAAAUUAUUAUUUUUAAUUAUUUUUAUCUUUUUUA